UGUAAAAUAGUGUACGGAGCACGAAAGUUUUUGAUCCUUUAAGCCCUGGUUCAAUUCCAUGAUUUACAA
RNAcentral lists this transfer RNA (69 nucleotides) under Escarpia spicata. RNAcentral describes it as "tRNA-Gln". It matches the Rfam family "tRNA". Rfam says of the family: Transfer RNA (tRNA) molecules are approximately 80 nucleotides in length. Their secondary structure includes four short double-helical elements and three loops (D, anti-codon, and T loops). Further hydrogen bonds mediate the characteristic L-shaped molecular structure. tRNAs have two regions of fundamental functional importance: the anti-codon, which is responsible for specific mRNA codon recognition, and the 3' end, to which the tRNAs corresponding amino acid is attached (by aminoacyl-tRNA synthetases). tRNAs cope with the degeneracy of the genetic code in two manners: having more than one tRNA (with a specific anti-codon) for a particular amino acid; and 'wobble' base-pairing, i.e. permitting non-standard base-pairing at the 3rd anti-codon position. The record is from RNAcentral. Lineage: Eukaryota; Metazoa; Annelida; Polychaeta; Sabellida; Siboglinidae.